AUGGUUGAGGAUCAGACACAAUCACAAGGUAACCCUUUAACGUGGAGCUACGAAAGGCCAGCAAACCCUGACACGUACGCUGGAGCAAAAUAUGAUGAUAGCUUAGAAGUGGUAAUGAAAGGUCAAUACCUUGAUUACACUAGCAACAUCAUUUAUAUGGUUGGUCUUGACUUGUCCUGCAACAAUUUAGUUGGAGAUAUUCCAGCUGAAAUAACAUCUCUAGUUAAUCUGAAGAACCUGAACAUCUCCUAUAAUCGGUUGUCCGGUAAGAUCCCAGAGAAUAUUGGCUUUCUUGGAUCAUUGGAGUCUCUCGACCUGUCAUGCAAUGAACUCUCUGGAGAAAUUCCUUCUGGUUUCUCAGACAUGACAAUGUUAAGCAAGAUGAACCUGUCAUACAAUAAUCUAUCAGGAAGAAUUCCCACCGGGAAUCAGCUCCAGACGCUCAUUGAUCCAAAUUCAUCGUACAUCGGCAACAAAUACCUUUGUGGGCCUCCUCUUUCGAGGAACUGUUCAGGGCCUAAGGUAUUUGGAGGGGAUCUUGACAAGCAUCAAGUAGAGGCGAGGUUUUUCUAUCUUGGCCUGGCUGCAGGAUUUAUCCUUGGUCUUUGGGUGGUCUUUGUUCUCUUUUUAUUUUGUAAGAGCAGAGUUACUUGUUUCCAACUGUUUGACAAGCUAGCGCGUGCUAUACAAGCAUUCAUGGCCUGA
This 705-nucleotide ribosomal RNA is filed under the name Triticum aestivum (bread wheat). RNAcentral describes it as "partial small subunit ribosomal RNA". Lineage: Eukaryota; Viridiplantae; Streptophyta; Magnoliopsida; Poales; Poaceae. The record is from RNAcentral.